Molecule: long non-coding RNA, 363 nt
Filed under: Lathyrus oleraceus (garden pea)
Lineage: Eukaryota; Viridiplantae; Streptophyta; Magnoliopsida; Fabales; Fabaceae
Description: Pisum sativum (pea) long non-coding RNA (PSAT_LNC011946)
Source: RNAcentral
AAGAUAAUGGUGUGAAAUAUGGACAUGAAAAUGGGAGCCUACAGAAUUCUUAUAUUUCUUAGAUGUACCUGAUGCUUUUUCAAAACAAAAUUAUACUGUGCCCCAAGUAUAAUCAUAAUUGUUUUUAUCCAAUCACCAGAAAUUAUUUAUAGCAUCCAUCAAAAUAUUAUUUUUGUGGCUCGCUUGUUAUUUUAAUACAAUGUGUCUGGUUAUUAGGGGAGACGGUAACCCAAGGUCCUGCAACCUGCCUUGAUUUGAGUGGCUCGCUUGUUAUUUUAAUACAAUGUGUCUGGUUAUUAGGGGAGACGGUAACCCAAGGUCCUGCAACCUGCCUUGAUUUGCAUGGUGUGCCUUGGAUAAGAC